This 541-nucleotide ribosomal RNA is filed under the name uncultured bacterium. RNAcentral describes it as "bacterial SSU rRNA". It matches the Rfam family "Bacterial small subunit ribosomal RNA", at positions 28 to 526 of the family's 1533-position model. The record is from RNAcentral.
GACGAACGCUGGCGGCGUGCCUAAUACAUGCAAGUCGAACGCGUCUACGUUAAUGAAAUCAAUGUGCUUGCACGGCGAUGGAUUUAACAUUAGACGAGUGGCGAACUGGUGAGUAACACGUGGGUAACCUGCCCUCAAGCAGGGGAUAACACUUGGAAACAGGUGCUAAUACCGUAUAACAAUCGAAACCGCAUGGUUUCGGUUUGAAAGGCGCUUUUGCGUCACUGAUGGAUGGACCCGCGGUGCAUUAGCUAGUUGGUGAGGUAACGGCUCACCAAGGCAACGAUGCAUAGCCGACCUGAGAGGGUGAUCGGCCACAUUGGGACUGAGACACGGCCCAAACUCCUACGGGAGGCAGCAGUAGGGAAUCUUCGGCAAUGGACGAAAGUCUGACCGAGCAACGCCGCGUGAGUGAAGAAGGUUUUCGGAUCGUAAAACUCUGUUGUUAGAGAAGAACAAGGAUGAGAGUAAAAUGUUCAUCCCUUGACGGUAUCUAACCAGAAAGCCACGGCUAACUACGUGCCAGCCGCCGCCGUAACAC